RNAcentral lists this ribosomal RNA (590 nucleotides) under uncultured bacterium. Its description in RNAcentral is "bacterial SSU rRNA". It matches the Rfam family "Bacterial small subunit ribosomal RNA", at positions 10 to 612 of the family's 1533-position model. The record is from RNAcentral.
AGUUUGAUCAUGGCUCAGAGUGAACGCUGGCGGCGUGCCUAACACAUGCAAGUCGAACGAGAACGGAUAUAAGUUUACUUAUAUUGUCAGCUAAGUGGCGCACGGGUGAGUAAUAUAUAGUUAAUCUGCCCUGAAGAAGAGAAUAAUUGUUGGAAACGACUUGUAAUGCUCUAUAUGCCUUUAUCACAUAAGUGAGCAAGGGAAAUAUUUAUAGCUUCGGGAUGAGACUGUACGGUAUCAGCUAGUUGGUGAGGUAAUGGCUCACCAAGGCUAUGACAUCUAACUGGUUUGAGAGGAUGAUCAGUCACACUGGAACUGAGACACGGUCCAGACUCCUACGGGAGGCAGCAGUGGGAAUAUUGCACAAUGGAGGAAACUCUGAUGCAGCAACGCCGCGUGGAGGAUGACACAUUUCGGUGCGUAAACUCCUUUUAUUAGGGAAGAUAAUGACGGUACCUAAUGAAUAAGCACCGGCUAACUCCGUGCCAGCAGCCGCGGUAAUACGGGGGGUGCAAGCGUUACUCGGAAUCACUGGGCGUAAAGAGCAUGUAGGCUGGUUAGUAAGUUGGAAGUGAAAUCCUAUGGCUCAA